UACCCGCAGCUCAAGUGGUGGUCAUUAUUAUUGGGCCUAAAGCGUCCGUAGCUGGCUUGUUAGAUGCCUGGGUAAAUCGAUGCGCUCAACGUAUCGAAUUCCGGGUAGACCGGCAAGCUCGAGACCGGGAGAGGCGUGAGCUACUCAAGGGGUAGGGGUAAAAUCCUGUAAUCCUUUGGGGAGGACCAGUGGCGAAGGCGUCACGCUAGAACGGCUCUGACAGUGAGGGACGAAGCCCUGGGGCGCAAACCGG
RNAcentral lists this ribosomal RNA (253 nucleotides) under uncultured bacterium. RNAcentral describes it as "partial 16S ribosomal RNA". It matches the Rfam family "Archaeal small subunit ribosomal RNA", at positions 474 to 727 of the family's 1478-position model. The record is from RNAcentral.